Molecule: ribosomal RNA, 445 nt
Filed under: uncultured bacterium
Lineage: Bacteria
Description: bacterial SSU rRNA
Rfam family: Bacterial small subunit ribosomal RNA
Source: RNAcentral
CCAGACUCCUACGGGAGGCAGCAGUGGGGAAUAUUGCACAAUGGGGGAAACCCUGAUGUAGCAACGCCGCGUGAGUGAAGAAGUAUUUCGGUAUGUAAAGCUCUAUCAGCAGGGAAGAAAAUGACAGUACCUGACUAAGAAGCCCCGGCUAACUACGUGCCAGCAGCCGCGGUAAUACGUAGGGGGCAAGCGUUAUCCGGAUUUACUGGGUGUAAAGGGAGCGUAGACGGCUGCGCAAGUCAGAAGUGAAAGCCCGGGGCUCAACCGCGGGACUGCUUUUGAAACUGUGUAGCUAGAGUGCAGGAGAGGUAAGUGGAAUUCCUAGUGUAGCGGUGAAAUGCGUAGAUAUCAGGAGGAACACCGGUGGCGAAGGCGGCCUGCUGGACUGCGACUGACGUUGAGGCCCGAAAGCGUGGGGAGCAAACAGGAUUAGAUACCCGAGUAA